Myotis myotis is the source of this 1015-nucleotide long non-coding RNA. RefSeq lists it as uncharacterized. The record is from RefSeq and is a predicted model, not a curated record. The transcript is spliced from 3 exons. NCBI's taxonomy places the organism in Eukaryota, Metazoa, Chordata, Mammalia, Chiroptera, Vespertilionidae.
CACUGCUCCUGGGAGGGGGUGGCCAAGGGACGCCAGGGAUGGAAGACAGUGAGGCUCCGAGUGGCUGGGCAGGUUUGUGAGAGCCCCAGGGAGAAGCAAGAACACAGUUGCCAUUCAACAACACAUCCAAAGUUCUGGAGCUCGCUCUCCUGGCCGCUCAGAUUCCAGGCACUUUUGCUGUCUUGCAGGAGCCCUGGCCGGAGGGCCCCUGGGCCCAAACCCAGACCUGGACAGGGCCUCCUGGAUGGGUUGAUAUUCCUGCGUGGUUUAUCAACCCCUGUGUAUGCAGCCGGAGGCCUCCACAGAUAAAAAGACUUCUCAACUUCAAACUGUUAUCAAGGUGAGGCUAUAUUCCAGGGUCGUCCAGGAUAGCCCUGAGAAGUCAAAUCCUCAAGCCGGACACCAAACCCCAGUUUCCAGGCUGGGACACAGACAGGAGAGUGGAGAGGAGUGCUGAGAAGUGACGGUGGGCGAGAGUGCGAGAAAGUUAUCAGGAAGACUAGGGAGCAGCCGGAGGAACGGAACCGACUGGAAGGGAAGGCCGGCUGCUGACCUGAACAGUCGCUGGGAAGUCACGCUGCCGGAAGGUCCCAGGGCCCCGGGCCCCGCAGAGGCGGAGCUGCCCCAGCCUGGGCCCUUGGCUUCCAGGCCCCCACCGAUGCCCGCUACCGCCACCUCUGCCUCUCCAGACACCCGCGUCCUCACAGGUGCUCCCGCACACUCUCCACACGCGGCCGGCGGCCGAGCUGGCCCCGCGGCGGCGGACUUACCUGGGCGGCGGCGGCGGCGGCGCUGGACCGGAGCGGCUGCGGGAAGGUGCGGCGGAUGCGAGCGCUCGAGUCCCGUCCCGCCCGGCUCCCUCCCGCCCUCGCCCGGGAGGUGAGUGUCCGAGCGGCCACGUGUCUGUCCGGCGGGGAAGUCCCAGGGAGCGAAGAAGUCUGCCUGGCCGCCCGCUCCCCCUCCCGGGUAUAAAUCUUGGGGACCGGAAAUACAAUAAAACUUCACCGUGUUGAUG